AUUGAACGCUGGCGGCAUGCUUUACGCAUGCAAGUCGAACGGUAACAGGGUGCUUGCACCGCUGACGAGUGGCGAACGGGUGAGUAAUGCGUCGGAACGUGCCGAGUAGUGGGGGAUAACGCAGCGAAAGUUGUGCUAAUACCGCAUACGUACUGAGGUAGAAAGUGGGGGACCUUCGGGCCUCACGCUAUUCGAGCGGCCGACGUCUGAUUAGCUAGUAGGUGAGGUAAAGGCUCACCUAGGCGACGAUCAGUAGCGGGUCUGAGAGGAUGAUCCGCCACACUGGGACUGAGACACGGCCCAGACUCCUACGGGAGGCAGCAGUGGGGAAUUUUGGACAAUGGGCGAAAGCCUGAUCCAGCCAUGCCGCGUGUCUGAAGAAGGCCUUCGGGUUGUAAAGGACUUUUGUCAGGGAGGAAAUCCCUAGUGCUAAUAACACUGGGGGAUGACGGUACCUGAAGAAUAAGCACCGGCUAACUACGUGCCAGCCGCCGCAGUAA
RNAcentral lists this ribosomal RNA (500 nucleotides) under uncultured bacterium. RNAcentral's name for it is "partial 16S ribosomal RNA". It matches the Rfam family "Bacterial small subunit ribosomal RNA", at positions 30 to 523 of the family's 1533-position model. The record is from RNAcentral.